UGACAUCAUCGAUUACCGCUGGAUCGCCGGCGCUGCGAUCGCCGGAACGAUCGUCGGCGCGAUCGCAGCCCGUCGUGUCGCC
RNAcentral lists this transfer RNA (82 nucleotides) under Novipirellula galeiformis. RNAcentral's name for it is "Planctomycetes bacterium Pla52o tRNA-Arg". Lineage: Bacteria; Pseudomonadati; Planctomycetota; Planctomycetia; Pirellulales; Pirellulaceae. The record is from RNAcentral.